Molecule: ribosomal RNA, 119 nt
Filed under: Aegilops tauschii subsp. strangulata
Lineage: Eukaryota; Viridiplantae; Streptophyta; Magnoliopsida; Poales; Poaceae
Source: RNAcentral
GGAUGCGAUCAUACCAGCACUAAAGCAUCGGAUCCCAUCAGAACUCCGAAGUUAAGCGUGCUUGGGCGAGAGUAGUACUAGGAUGGGUGACCUCCUGGGAAGUCCUCGUAUUGCAUUCU